Non-coding RNA from Pelobates cultripes (western spadefoot toad), 263 nucleotides. The record is from the annotation of a GenBank genome assembly. NCBI's taxonomy places the organism in Eukaryota, Metazoa, Chordata, Amphibia, Anura, Pelobatidae.
ACAGUUUCAGGUUUACAUUUGCACAAACAUUUAGUGCGCAUAAAUUAUGGAUCAGAAAAGAAAUUUGCACAAGAGAAAAUUUCUGUGCAUGCAUUUCUAAAAGAAUCACUUCCUCCCAGUUUCAUAAGAGAGCUCCAUGUGGGAGGGGAAGGAGGCUGAAGGUGGCAGCUGGAACCACAGGCUGCAUGGGGAGGAGAGGCAGAAGUGAGUUGUUGCAGACCCUCAUGCUCACUUCUAUCAGCCUCAGCCAGCAUUAACAGGAC